CCUACGGGAGGCAGCAGUGGGGAAUAUUGGGCAAUGGGCGCAAGCCUGACCCAGCAACGCCGCGUGAAGGAAGAAGGCUUUCGGGUUGUAAACUUCUUUUCUCAGGGACGAAGCAAGUGACGGUACCUGAGGAAUAAGCCACGGCUAACUACGUGCCAGCAGCCGCGGUAAUACGUAGGUGGCAAGCGUUAUCCGGAUUUACUGGGUGUAAAGGGCGUGUAGGCGGGAAAGCAAGUCAGAUGUGAAAACCAUGGGCUCAACCUGUGGCCUGCAUUUGAAACUGUUUUUCUUGAGUACUGGGGAGGCAGACGGAAUUCCUAGUGUAGCGGUGAAAUGCGUAGAUAUUAGGAGGAACACCAGUGGCGAAGGCGGUCUGCUGGACAGCAACUGACGCUGAGGCGCGAAAGCGUGGGGAGCAAACAGGAUUAGAGACCCGGGUAGUC
This 443-nucleotide ribosomal RNA is filed under the name uncultured bacterium. RNAcentral's name for it is "partial 16S ribosomal RNA". It matches the Rfam family "Bacterial small subunit ribosomal RNA", at positions 338 to 795 of the family's 1533-position model. The record is from RNAcentral.